CUUCAUCCCCACUUCUCUAUAUCCCAUAACAAGCAAGAAAAGAACUACUAGUGAAAUUUAUAGCUAUACAUGUAGCUAGCUUGGGCUCUCUCAAUAAUAAUCUACGACGAGACUGCCCAUCUUCUUAUCGUGUAACACUAUCAGUUGAAGCUGCCAGCAUGAUCUUAACCUUCCUCCAUAGUUGAGGAAAGAUCAGAUCAUGUGGCAGCUUCACCCGUUGUGGUAGCACGAGAAACCCUAGUUUCACUCGAAACCCUUUUCUUUAAAUGCUUAAAUGGGCUGUUAGGGUUUUCUUUGUUCAAUCCCUAGAAAAGGAGGGUUUUCAGUGACAGGGUUUUUGCGUCUCGGUGCAGUUCAACGAUUUCUAGAUCUUCCCUGACAUUUUUGGUGAUUGAGCCUUGACAUUCCUUAAUCUGCCGUACUGCUUUUGUUAAUAACUUGGGUAUGCAUUUUCAACUUCUUUUCUAUGAUAUAAUAUAACUAACAAUUCAUAUAUGUUUAGGGUUUUUAUAAAACUGCUUUUUGGUUAGGGCUAAUCCGUUCGGCUUCAAUUUUCUAUAUAUUUUAUGGGAAAAUUAUGCAUCUAUAACCUCUUACCUACUUUACUUGACAUCUUAUAGAGCUAAUUUAUAACAAUGGAUAAGGUAGAGAAUGAAUUUUGACUCAAUGUUAUACUGGAGUCUCCAGAACUAAAAGGUUGCUAAUUCAAAUCUCAGCCAAAUUAACUAAGAAAGAGUCCAAGAAAAUAUCGUGCACCCUUUUAUGUGGUUCAUAAUUUUGUGGACCAUUUCUUGAUAAGUUUUUGAGAUUUGCAUUUCCUCUCAGAAUUAUCUGAGUUUGUGGGAAUAAUGUUAAUGUUCACAUAUUGUGGUUGAAUCCAGCUAAUUCAACUCACAAAUUCACCAAUCAUAAGGUAACUUGUGGUUCUUCUCUUAAAUUUUAAGUCUUGCAUUUCUUUUUUCUCUUUCAAGACUUAAUAGGGUUAAUUAGUUCAGGCUUUACAUGUAGUAAGUCGAUCGAAUCUUACGAAUAAUGCAACUGAGAUCAUAGCCAUUGAUCAGCUAAUAGCCCAACAAGUCAAUUGCUCAAGAAAAUUCAGGAAAGAAAACCUCUUUCUCCAUGUUUUAAAGCAAAAAUGUGACAUUGAAGUUAAAAUAACAAGGUGAAGAAACUGCACUAGAAUACAUACUACAAUGAUAGAACAAUAAGAUUGUCCUAUUUGAAAAGUUUUACUAACUGGAGAAUCUACCUGCAGAUAACCCUCUUGGACCGGGUAUUUAUUUUCUUCUGUCCUUGAUGUUAAAAGAGUGAUAAAAGCAUGAGUAUGCAUUUAUCAGUCUUUUUAUGUCAACUUUUAUAUAUUAAGGACUUCAGAUUUAGUUCACUUUCUUGUAUUUCUUCCAGGCUUGAAGAAGUUGUUGAUGAAAGCACUUACUAGGAUUGUGUAAAACAAAAAAGGAAAAUUCUUUUAAUGUUUAUAUCGGCCCAAUUGUUAUUUUAUGAUAAGAUAUUUGAAGAAGGUUUUGUAGCCAACUAGAAGUUAUAAACUUCGGGAGAAGGAGAUGGACUAAUCAUAAGAACUAUAAUUUCAUAACAUCUAACUAAAUGUGAAAAGUAAAGUUGAUUUCAAAGUAAAAUAUGAGAUUAAUACAAAGAAGUGGAUGGUCUAUCGGUAAUUGAACUGUGUCUGUGUUAGCUAAUUAAGAGAAGAAUAUUUUACUUGAUGAACUUAACUCCUGUUUAUCCAUUUUAUUUAUUGGAAGCUCGUGAAAGGAAGAUUAUUUGCUCAAUUAAUAGAAGUGUAGUGAAUAGACAUUGAUGUUGUUUCAAUUAACAAUAGCAUGUGAACCCAUUAAAUUAGCUUGUUCAAGUUCCUUAGUUUGAAUCUUUCUUUUAUGAUAUAUAUAUAUAUAUAAUGAAGAGUAGUGAUUUGGCUAUCUACCUUGGUUGUUGGAGUUUGGCCCCUCUCUUUUGGUAGGAAGCUGUAUGUGGGGAAGAUUCCAUAUAGCUUUCUUUAUCAGUAGGUACCCAAAAUAUGCAAAAACGUUAUAUUGGUUUAAUUGAUUCUUUCAAUAUAACUUGUGAUCAGUGAAAGACAUCAGGUAGCUAGAGAAUCCAUUGACAAGGCCUUGCUUGCUACUUGCCAUUUAAGGAUUGCUCUUUUGCCAAUGCGAGAGCCAUAAAUUUGUUUUCUAUAAAGGACCCGGAUUUGGCUCGCGUUCUAUCGUUGAAAGUGAGAUUUCAAUCAAAAAGCUUAUGGAUAUAUAUACCUCUGUUAGAGAAAGACAGAGAAGAAGAAGGGACUUACGAUUUGUCACUAUCUCUCUCUCUCUGUUCACAAGAUACUUGCCUAACUCUACAUCACUGCAUGUGAAAUAUUUCUUUAGUGUAUUUCCUUUUUUUCUUGCAUUUAUAUAUUAAGUCUAAUGAUUGAAUUUUGUGUUCCUCUACUCACCAAAAAAUAUUUUUCUUCUAAAUUGUAAUAGAGUAGUCAGUGAGCAUGAUUGUGUCCAAUGAAAUGGGAUGUAUAUAUAUGUUUAUGAGAUGUCAAAUUAAUAGCAUUAUUGUUCUUCUAAAUUUAUUUGUAUGAAAGCCAUAAUAUCAUAAUAAAGAAAGUUAAGGAUGGAUGUGGGUUGAAUCAUUUAUGAA
Jatropha curcas is the source of this 2649-nucleotide long non-coding RNA. RefSeq lists it as uncharacterized. NCBI's taxonomy places the organism in Eukaryota, Viridiplantae, Streptophyta, Magnoliopsida, Malpighiales, Euphorbiaceae. The record is from RefSeq and is a predicted model, not a curated record.